UCGGACGACCAUAUGCUCCCAUUGGGGGCUGCACCACGCCUUCCCCGCACCGAGGUCACCGUGGCCCUCUCCUCCCCAGAUCCGGUGAGCCCCCCAUGGACCUCUCAUCCCCAGAUCUGGUGAGCCCCCCGGCGGCUCCAUCCACCUCUCCCUCCUAAUCUGUUGCGGAGCACAUCAAGCACGCAUCUUUACUUUGGCGUUCGUGGCAUGGGUGCUGCAGUUUGCUGCCUCCCAUGCAGCAGCACUCCGGCGGGCAACGUGCAGUUCCCUGCUCCCUCGACGACACUUUGGCAAGUGGUUCAGAUGACGCCCCCGAGCUCCUCUUCCCUCCUGGCCAUGAGAGAACGGGCGUUGUGCUGCAGUUUUCUCCAUGUGCGGAUGCAGCACAAACCGCGAGCAGGAAGCUGACGGUACAUUGGUGGUUUGCGUGCAGUACACCUCCUGUGACAAAAAAUGAUGCAGCUCAAAAAGUUCAGUGAUGCAGUAUGCACUACUCGUUGAUGCAGUGCGGUUCCCAUAAACAAUGUGUGGCGAUGCAGUAAGGUUGGUGCCUGCGUGCUGUUCCGAUAAGCAGAGCGCGAAGUUGUAGUCUGGUUGCCGUCGCGUGCGAUUCCCAGGUGUGGUGAUGCUGAUAGUUUCCUUGUGUAGCUCGUUUUCUUAUCUAGACACCGUGCGGUUCAUCAACAAAAGAAGGUUUGCUUAUUUUUAUCCUGCAGUUCAGUUCGACGAGCUUCCCUCUUGUGCGAUUCAGAGGGACCAAAAAAACAGGGUGUUUGUUUCAAUAAAAUCUACAUCAUGUGGUGGUGCAUUGCAUUCAUGCGGUUUGGGCUGGUGCACUUGCAGUACGGUGCAUCGGCAGACGAAGUUCUUUGUGGUUCGCUCUGAGAAACAUUGAUACAAUACACUUAUCUCGUCUCAGCAGUCAUGGAGCAUUCAUAAAAAAAUGAGAAAGAAAAAAAGAAAAAAUAAUAGUGCAGCUCAGUAACCUCAACCCUGCAAACUUACGAAAGCAUUUUACAAAAAAAUGCAGUACACUAGCCUCGAUAAUUUAGUUUGAACGUAUUUAUACGAAAGUAGUUUGAAAACGAUAAAAAAUUCCAUUCAGUGCACUUUAAUUUGUGUAGGGGUUCAC
RNAcentral lists this long non-coding RNA (1132 nucleotides) under Triticum aestivum (bread wheat). RNAcentral describes it as "long non-coding RNA (TAES_LNC014690)". The record is from RNAcentral. Lineage: Eukaryota; Viridiplantae; Streptophyta; Magnoliopsida; Poales; Poaceae.